Molecule: long non-coding RNA, 569 nt
Organism: Mauremys reevesii (Reeves's turtle)
Lineage: Eukaryota; Metazoa; Chordata; Testudines; Geoemydidae
Exons: 3
Source: RefSeq, a predicted model, not a curated record
AGGAAGAUAACUGUGCAACAGGUUUUCAUUCAAUUACAGCCUUCAUAUGCAAGAUUAACAGAUUUUUCAAGGUGUGGUGGUGCUCUAGAUACCCAAAUGACAGAACCCACUACUGCCAAUUUCAGGUGUGCAGGAUGUGAAAGUAGUGUACAGUGAUGGAGCAAAAUCUGUCAGGAGGAGGAUAUGAGCUAACAGCAUAUUUCCAUUCUAAGUCCAUGGAAUCCCAUUUCUGCAAAUACCGCAUGGGAGAGUCUCAGAUUAUGGCCUUUUGAAUUGCUCUGAAUAUAGAUAUGAGAGGACUACAUGUCUAGUAUAAUUGAAACCACAGACCAUCUUCAGGGAAGAUAUCUGCCAUUUGCUAAAGCUUUGCUGUGAGGCUGUCCCUAGGAAAGAUGACUGCAAUUUCCCACUGUUUUAAUAUAUCUGAACCAGAGCCUCCCCACAGGGAUGGUGGCCAUCAUUUCACUGUUGCACAUCUCGCCAUCUUGAAACCCAUCGGUGCGAGACACAAGGAAUUGAAACGUGUAACAAAUGUCAAAAACGUGGAACCGUCUUGGUUUUGUUGUCCA